CCUACGGUGGCGCAGCAGUGGGGAAUAUUGGACAAUGGGCGAAAGCCUGAUCCAGCCAUGCCGCGUGUGUGAAGAAGGCCUUCGGGUUGUAAAGCACUUUCAGUGGGGAAGAAAGCCUUGGGGCUAAUACCCUCGAGGAAGGACAUCACCCACAGAAGAAGCACCGGCUAACUCCGUGCCAGCAGCCGCGGUAAUACGGAGGGUGCGAGCGUUAAUCGGAAUUACUGGGCGUAAAGCGCGCGUAGGCGGUCUGAUAAGCCGGUUGUGAAAGCCCCGGGCUCAACCUGGGAACGGCAUCCGGAACUGUCAGGCUAGAGUGCAGGAGAGGAAGGUAGAAUUCCCGGUGUAGCGGUGAAAUGCGUAGAGAUCGGGAGGAAUACCAGUGGCGAAGGCGGCCUUCUGGACUGACACUGACGCUGAGGUGCGAAAGCGUGGGUAGCAAACAGGAUUAGAUACCCGAGUAGUC
This 466-nucleotide ribosomal RNA is filed under the name Vreelandella stevensii. RNAcentral describes it as "partial 16S ribosomal RNA". It matches the Rfam family "Bacterial small subunit ribosomal RNA", at positions 338 to 795 of the family's 1533-position model. Lineage: Bacteria; Pseudomonadati; Pseudomonadota; Gammaproteobacteria; Oceanospirillales; Halomonadaceae. The record is from RNAcentral.